CCAACAGGGAUUGCCCUAGUAACGGCGAGUGAAGCGGCAACAGCUCAAAUUUGAAAUCGGUGUCCUUCUCGGGCAUCGAGUUGUAAUUUGGAGGGAUAACUUCGGUACGGACUACAUCGUAAGUUCCUUGGAACAGGACGUCAUAGAGGGUGAGAAUCCCGUGUCUUGGUGGCUGGCCGUGCCAUGUGAAGUGUCUCCGACGAGUCGAGUUGUUUGGGAAUGCAGCUCAAAAUGGGUGGUAAAUUUCAUCUAAAGCUAAAUAUUGGCGAGAGACCGAUAGCGCACAAGUAGAGUGAUCGAAAGAUGAAAAGCACUUUGAAAAGAGAGUUAAAAAGUACGUGAAAUUGUUGAAAGGGAAGCGCUUGCGACCAGACUCGAUCUUUGGUGAUCAGCCGGGCUUCGGUCCGGUGCCCUCACCAUUGAUUGGGCCAGCAUCGGUUCUGACGGCGGGACAAAAGGAGGAGGAAUGUGGCUCCCCUCGGGGAGUGUUAUAGCCUUCUUCACAAUGCCGCCAGUUGGGACCGAGGACCGCGCUUCGGCUAGGAUGCUGGCGUAAUGGUCUUAAGCGACCCGUCUUGAAACACGGACCAAGGAGUCUAACAUCUAUGCGAGUGUUCGGGUGGAAAACCCUUGCGCGUAAUGAAAGUGAACGGAGGUGUGAACCCUUUACCGGGUGCAACAUCGACCGGUCCUGAUGUCUUCGGAAGGAUCUGAGUAAGAGCAUAGCUGUUGGGACCCGAAAGAUGGUGAACUAUGCCUGAAUAGGGUGAAGCCAGAGGAAACUCUGGUGGAGGCUCGCAGCGGUUCUGACGUGCAAAUCGAUC
RNAcentral lists this ribosomal RNA (824 nucleotides) under Tricharina gilva. RNAcentral's name for it is "partial large subunit ribosomal RNA". It matches the Rfam family "Eukaryotic large subunit ribosomal RNA", at positions 65 to 903 of the family's 3401-position model. The record is from RNAcentral. Lineage: Eukaryota; Fungi; Ascomycota; Pezizomycetes; Pezizales; Pyronemataceae.